RNAcentral lists this non-coding RNA (28 nucleotides) under Bombyx mori (domestic silkworm). The record is from RNAcentral. Lineage: Eukaryota; Metazoa; Arthropoda; Insecta; Lepidoptera; Bombycidae.
UCGUAGAUGUCGUAAGAAUUGUGAAGGC